This 1419-nucleotide ribosomal RNA is filed under the name Triticum aestivum (bread wheat). RNAcentral describes it as "partial small subunit ribosomal RNA". The record is from RNAcentral. Lineage: Eukaryota; Viridiplantae; Streptophyta; Magnoliopsida; Poales; Poaceae.
AUGGCUGCCCAAGAAGAGCAGCAGCCGCCGCUGCACAUCCUCUUCUUCCCGUUCCUAGCCCCCGGCCACCUCAUUACAAUAGCCGACAUGGCCGCGCUCUUCGCCGCCCGUGGCGUCAGGUGCACCAUCCUCACCACGCCCGUCAACGCAGCCAUCAUCCGCUCGGCCGUCGACCGUGCCAAUGACGCUUUCGCUGGCCCGGCCAUUGAUAUCUCCGUCGUGCCGUUUCCUGACGUCGGGCUCCCGCCGGGCGUCGAGAACGGCAUGGCCCUUACAUCCCAGGGAGACCGCGACAAGUUCGCUCAAGCGGUGCAGCUGCUCCGCGAGCCCUUCGAACACUUCUUGGCUCACAACCACCCCGAUGCGGUCGUGACCGGCAGCUACUUCCACUGGUCCCAGCAUGUUCGCGCGGUCCUGCAGCGAGACCAUGUUGCGCAACAACCCAUUGGCGACUGCCCCCGACGACCCGACGCGCUCGUUUCCCUGCCGGGGCUGCCGCACCGUGUCGAGCUGAGGCGGAGCCAAAUGAUGGACCCCGUGAAGCAGGCGGACCACUGGGCAUUCUUCCAGAGCGUGAACGCCGCUGACCAGAGGAGCUUCGGCGAGGUUUUUAAUAGCUUCCAUGAGCUGGAGCCGGACUACGUCGAGCACUACCACACGACCCUUGGCCGGCGCGCGUGGCUCGUCGGGCCGGUAGCACUCGCCAGCCAGGACAUCGCUAGGAGAGGCACCGACGCGCUCUCACCGGACUCGGACAACUGCCUUGGGUGGCUGAACACGAAGCCCGCCGGCUCGGUGGUGUACGUCUCCUUCGGCACGCUGAUCAGGUUCUCGCCGGCGGAGCUGCACCAGCUCGCCCGCGGCCUCGAACUCUCAGGCAUAAAUUUCAUGUGGGUGACCGGCGCCGCAGGCCCAGACCCUUCAGAGUGGAUGCCUGAAGGCUUCGCCGAGCUGAUGGCACGCGGCGACCGUGGGUUCAUCAUCCGAGGCUGGGCGCCACAGCUGCUCAUCCUGAACCACCCUGCCGUUGGUGGGUUCGUGACGCACUGUGGUUGGAACUCGACACUUGAGGCCGUGAGCGCCGGUGUGCCGAUGGUCACGUGGCCGCGGUAUGCAGAUCAGUUCAGCAACGAGAAGCUUAUUGUGGAAGUGCUCAAGGUGGGCGUCAGCAUCGGCGCCAAGGAGUACGCAUCGUCCGUGGAGACUCACGAGGUGAUCGGCGGUGAAGUAAUCGCUGAAUCCAUCGGAAGAUUGAUGAGCAACAACGAGGAGGGCAGCGCCAUAAGAAAGAAGGCCAAGGACCUCGGUGUGAACGCAAGGACCGCGGUGGAGAGUGGUGGGUCUUCGUACAAUGAUGUUGGUCAGUUGAUGGACGAGUUGACGGCCCGCCGGAGUUCCAUGAAGGUUGGAGAAAUGUAA